AUCUUUCUAGUAUUAAAAUAGUACAAAUGACUUCCAAUCAUUUAGUCUUGGUUAAAUUCCAAGGAAAGAUA
Molecule: transfer RNA, 71 nt
Filed under: Osteoglossum ferreirai (black arawana)
Lineage: Eukaryota; Metazoa; Chordata; Actinopteri; Osteoglossiformes; Osteoglossidae
Description: tRNA-Gly
Rfam family: tRNA
About the family: Transfer RNA (tRNA) molecules are approximately 80 nucleotides in length. Their secondary structure includes four short double-helical elements and three loops (D, anti-codon, and T loops). Further hydrogen bonds mediate the characteristic L-shaped molecular structure. tRNAs have two regions of fundamental functional importance: the anti-codon, which is responsible for specific mRNA codon recognition, and the 3' end, to which the tRNAs corresponding amino acid is attached (by aminoacyl-tRNA synthetases). tRNAs cope with the degeneracy of the genetic code in two manners: having more than one tRNA (with a specific anti-codon) for a particular amino acid; and 'wobble' base-pairing, i.e. permitting non-standard base-pairing at the 3rd anti-codon position.
Source: RNAcentral